CGCUGAUGCAGGAAAGCGUGGGGGAGCGAACAGGGAUUAGAUACCCUGGUAGUCCACGCCGGUAAACGAUGAUCACUCGCUGUUGGCGAUACACAGUCAGCGGGCUAAGCAAAAGCAUUAAGUGAUCCACCUGGGGGAGUACGGCCGCAAGGCUGAAACUCAAAGGAAUUGACGGGGGCCCGCACAAGCGGAGGAACAUGUGGUUUAAUUCGAUGAUACGCGAGGAACCUUACCUGGGCUUAAAUGUAGAGUGCAUUUCGCUGAAAGGCGGAUUCCCUUCGGGGCUCUUUGCAAGGUGCUGCAUGGUUGUCGUCAGCUCGUGCCGUGAGGUGUCGGGUUAAGUCCCAUAACGAGCGCAACCCUUAUCGUUAGUUGCCAGCGGGUCAAGCCGGGAACUCUAACGAAACUGCCGGUGUAAACCGUGAGGAAGAUGGGGAUGACGUCAAAUCAGCACGGCCCUUAUGUCCAGGGCUACACACGUGUUACAAUGGCCGGUACAGAGGGCAGCUACCUGGAGACAGGAUGCGAAUCUCCAAAGCCGGUCUCAGUUCGGAUCGGAGUCUGCAACUCGACUCCGUGAAGCUGGAUUCGCUAGUAAUCGCGCAUCAGCCAUGGCGCGGUGAAUACGUUCCCGGGCCUUGUACACACCGCCCGUCAAGCCAUGGAAGUUGGGGGUACCUGAAGUCCGUAACCGUAAGGAGCGGCCUAGGGUAAAACUAGUGACUGGGUUGUAA
This 734-nucleotide ribosomal RNA is filed under the name uncultured bacterium. RNAcentral describes it as "bacterial SSU rRNA". It matches the Rfam family "Bacterial small subunit ribosomal RNA", at positions 744 to 1485 of the family's 1533-position model. The record is from RNAcentral.